Molecule: ribosomal RNA, 694 nt
Filed under: uncultured bacterium
Lineage: Bacteria
Description: bacterial SSU rRNA
Rfam family: Bacterial small subunit ribosomal RNA
Source: RNAcentral
UAACACGUGGAUAACCUGCCUCNCACUGGGGGACAACAGUUAGAAAUGACUGCUAAUACCGCAUAAGCGCACAGUACCGCAUGGUACAGUGUGAAAAACUCCGGUGGUGUGAGAUGGAUCCGCGUCUGAUUAGCCAGUUGGCGGGGUAACGGCCCACCAAAGCGACGAUCAGUAGCCGACCUGAGAGGGUGACCGGCCACAUUGGGACUGAGACACGGCCCAAACUCCUACGGGAGGCAGCAGUGGGGAAUAUUGCACAAUGGGCGAAAGCCUGAUGCAGCGACGCCGCGUGAGUGAAGAAGUAUUUCGGUAUGUAAAGCUCUAUCAGCAGGGAAGAUAAUGACGGUACCUGACUAAGAAGCCCCGGCUAACUACGUGCCAGCAGCCGCGGUAAUACGUAGGGGGCAAGCGUUAUCCGGAUUUACUGGGUGUAAAGGGAGCGUAGACGGCAUGGCAAGUCUGAAGUGAAAACCCAGGGCUCAACCCUGGGACUGCUUUGGAAACUGUCAAGCUAGAGUGCAGGAGAGGUAAGUGGAAUUCCUAGUGUAGCGGUGAAAUGCGUAGAUAUUAGGAGGAACACCAGUGGCGAAGGCGGCUUACUGGACUGUAACUGACGUUGAGGCUCGAAAGCGUGGGGAGCAAACAGGAUUAGAUACCCUGGUAGUCCACGCCGUAAACGAUGAGUGCUAGGUGU